CUACGGGGCGCUGCAGUGAGGAAUCUUCCACAAUGGAGGAAACUCUGAUGCAGCAACGCCGCGUGGAGGAUGACACUUUUCGGAGCGUAAACUCCUUUUAUAUAGGAAGAAGAUGACGGUACUAUAUGAAUAAGCGCCGGCUAACUCCGUGCCAGCAGCCGCGGUAAUACGGAGGGCGCAAGCGUUACUCGGAAUCACUGGGCGUAAAGAGCGUGUAGGCGGAUUAAAAAGUCAGAAGUGAAAUCCUAUAGCUUAACUAUAGAACUGCUUCUGAAACUCUUAAUCUAGAAUAUGGGAGAGGUAGAUGGAAUUUCUGGUGUAGGGGUAAAAUCCGUAGAGAUCAGAAGGAAUACCGAUUGCGAAGGCGAUCUACUAGAACAUUAUUGACGCUGAGACGCGAAAGCGUGGGGAGCAAACAGGAUUAGAUACCCCCGUAGUC
This 439-nucleotide ribosomal RNA is filed under the name uncultured bacterium. RNAcentral's name for it is "partial 16S ribosomal RNA". It matches the Rfam family "Bacterial small subunit ribosomal RNA", at positions 339 to 795 of the family's 1533-position model. The record is from RNAcentral.